Molecule: long non-coding RNA, 861 nt
Organism: Homo sapiens (human)
Lineage: Eukaryota; Metazoa; Chordata; Mammalia; Primates; Hominidae
Exons: 2
Source: RefSeq, a predicted model, not a curated record
UUUUUAGCGUAAUCACUAUGAGGCAGUAAAUAGAAUAUGCUAUAUAUUUUUAAAUGUCACCGUGGAAUUUCCAGUCACCUUGUAUUAAUUUUGACUCACAUUUUUAUAUUUUUAUGCAUGCACACACAAUAUUUAACUUUCCAAGUCCCUUCUCUGUAAAGGACUUGAGGUCUAGGAAGUGCUAAAUUUCAUUACCUAUCCUCUCUAUUCUCUUCCUUCAAGUUCCUGAGAUGACAGUGAAUGCUGUGUUAUCCUGCUGUAUCAGUUACCUAUUUUCAUACAAAUACUUCAAUCCCAAAACACACUGGCUGGAAACAACAAACAUGUAAUUAGUCUGGAUGUUCUCAUGGCAAUGGCAGAGGAGCAAAGGCCAAAUGGAAACAUGCAAGAGUUCUUAAGUCCCAGGCCUGGAAGUGACAGCAAAUCAUUUCCCUGCACUCUACUGGACAAAGCUACAACAUCAACCUAGAUUCAGUGAAUAGGGAAAUUACUCCAUGAUAUAGUUUGGAUAUCUGUGUCUCCAUCACAUCUCAUGUUGACAUGUAAUCCCUAGUGAUGAAGGUGGGGAGGUGUUUCGAUCCUGGGGGUGUAUCCCUCAUGAAUGGCUUAGCGCCAUCCCCUUGGUGAUAAGUGAGUUCUCAUGAGAUCUGAUUGUUUAAAAGUGUGUGGCACCUCCCCCAACUCUCUCUCUCUCUCUCUCUCUCACUUGCUCGCUCUGGCCAUGUGACGUGCCUGCUCCCGCUUCACCUUCUGCCAUGAGUAAAAUCUCCCUGAAGCCUCCCCAGAAGCCAAACAAAUGUCAACAACAUGCUUGUACAACGCAGAACCAUGAGCCAAUUAAACCUCUUUUCUUAUAAAUUA